AUGCGCAUGGCGAAUGCCACCUCCGGUGCCUCGCUUUGGUCGUGUCGGAUCACUGCCCGCUGCUGCUUGAUUGCUCCCCCAUGCCGGCUGUGCACAAACGCUUCCACUUCGAGGACUAUUGGCUCAGACUUGACGACUUCCAUGACACCGUUACCGCGGCGUGGAGCUCGGUGCAUGACGACGACCCAUUCCGGCGGCUGGUCAAGCGUCUCCAGGCCAUUGCUCGCCGCUUAUCAAGCUGGAGCGCCAAGGCCACGGGCAACAUUCGGGACAAGCUCGCCAUAUCCCGCAAGCUGA
Molecule: ribosomal RNA, 297 nt
Filed under: Triticum aestivum (bread wheat)
Lineage: Eukaryota; Viridiplantae; Streptophyta; Magnoliopsida; Poales; Poaceae
Description: partial small subunit ribosomal RNA
Source: RNAcentral